Molecule: long non-coding RNA, 11003 nt
Organism: Pseudopipra pipra
Lineage: Eukaryota; Metazoa; Chordata; Aves; Passeriformes; Pipridae
Exons: 5
Source: RefSeq, a predicted model, not a curated record
CAGCAGGACGGAGCACAGAACCAGCAGGACGAAGAUGAGCGGCUGCAGCAGCUCCCCGCGCUCCUCUUGCUCGCGCAGAUCUGAAAGAGGCACAGAGGCCGUGCCUGGCUGGAUGCCGUUACAGGGCCCCAUGAACAAAACGGAGCCUGGAGAAUGCCCGACAUAACUUGAGGAGGGAUGUGAUCUGGCCGGGGAUGUCUGCACUGAAGAGGCUCCUGGCUGAGCGAGGGCAUUGAAUGGCCCGCAGAGCGAAGCAGGUAAAUGCAAAACUUACAGCUAUCCUCCCUCAGACACCUCACAGACUGUACUGGUGCUUGAAAAAAAGAAAUCAUACACACGGAACUUCAACCUGAAACUUCAUAACAAAAAAAGUCCACUAAGGAAAGCAUUUUGUUGUGCAAAAAGUCCCUCCCCCCUCCUCUGUUCACCUUCAUCUACUGAGGGUCUCACACACACACAAAGUUUCCUUCCAACGGGCGAGUUGGUAAGAAAGAGUCCUCCCUAUGUACAGUGAGUUAGAGAGAAGCUGGAUACAGUGCUGGCAAGAGGCAUUGGGUGAGUGCCUCUAUCUGGAAGUGUCCAUGUUCUCCUCCUUAAAGUUACUGCAGUGCUCUAUAACUUUCCUAUGGAUAAAACAAGGACAAGGAGAAAGGGUUUAGUGUAAAGCUUAUUGCACCCAGUUGUGAGACAGUAAGGUAAGAACUGUCCCACAGUUGAUCUCUAUGUAACUUUAUCCUCUUUGUGUCAAAACCAGUAAACUCCACAACAGCAGCUUAGAGCUCCCAGUCUGGAAUGUCAAGUCACAGUAGUGCACAUCCAGAUCCAUUUGUGACUGUUCAUUCACCACCCCCAUAUCCAAAUCCUCAGAUACCUUUGAAUCACAGCAGGAAACACGUGCACACAAAUGUCUGUCAUUCACUGUGCUGUCACCUGUGCCAUAAACACACACUGUGUGUAACUGUGACUGUCUUCUGCAGGCUCCAGUCCCCUCCAGUGCAUAGUGACCCUUCAGCUGUGGGAAUACCUGCUGCCCACCCACCAGGUAUGUGUUCCCAGCCCAUCUCUACCUCUUUUAUAUCCAUCCUGCAGGUAUGAAAUUACAGCUCUUGCUCUGCCAAUGACCAGAGACUGCAGCUGGCUUUUAAAACCCUGAACAGACUCCAAAAGAAGGUCACGUAACUGGGGAAGCUCACAAAGGUGAUGGACUCUCUCUGCCUUUUGAAAAAUGCUCUCAUUUUAACUGUGCAGUCAGUAGUUUUAAUGACAGACCAAUAUGACUCUGGAGACAGUGAUGACUGGAGACUAUUGGCCUAAGAGCUGCAAUUAGUCACGUGGCUCCCUUGACCAACAAGCCAAUUCUGUAACCAAUUUGCCUGGCAAUGAUCUGUGUGCAUUGCCCACCUACAAACACCUCCAGUCUGUUUUCACCUAUUUUUCCUGUGUUCACUUCAUACCCCUUGCACACAUCGAUGCAGGCCUUGCUUUGGCAGCCUCACUUGAUGGGGAAGAAUAAAAACUAAAGUAAAGCUAAACUGGAUGUUUGUGACAGUGCUCUGGUGUCCUACCGGGCCAUUUCCUUGGUCUCUUGCCGUGCUGAGGCCAUUUUGAUCAUGUCCUUCAGGAGAGGGAUCCCACCUUCUUUGAUCAGCAGCGGGCAGUACUUGUCAGCUGCAGAGAAAAGAAUGAAACAGGCCCUUGUGAGCCCUCACAAGAGGGGUACAAAGGGUGGCAGGAGGGCAAGGAGAAGGAUCAAAACAGUGAAGGAAUUUCCUACACACCAAGUCUCAUUGUUUUUGUUUGGCUAUGCUGCCUGGACAUUCCUGCAUCAUUCAAAAAAGGUUUUCUCCCCCUACAUAGCUUAACUGGGAAGACUUUUUCUGCUGACAGCCUCAGAGCCACCCCCUCAAGUUCUACAGUGCAAGGGAUGUGAUUUCAGAAAGGGAACUUACGGUAGACAGAGACCAGGUUAUAGAGUGCCCAGGUGGCCCAGUGCUGGCUGACUGGGGAGAUUCCUUGUGGAAGAAGUCGGAGGAUUGGUUCAAAUGACCUGCACAGAAAUAUUACAGAAGUUGUUAAAAAUCCGAGAGUAACUUCUUUCAGAACCUUCACCACUCACAGCAAUACAAACUCUGCUCACAGAUGUCACAGCAGUAAAUGCACUGCCAUGCCAAAGAUUCUGGCACCAAGGCUGUGUCCCAGGGCAGUGCUGGCAGGAUUACAGGCCCCACCACUUCAGCACAAACACUGCCCAGAUAAAUAGCUGCUAGGAGGGUGACUGAGCCCAAAAUCUGAUUUCCAUCCUCCAUCAGUCAUUUGCUCACGACAGCUAAAACCCAGCACUGAUCGAUCUGUAGAGGGGAUAAAGCCAAGCUAUACCCAGGCAAAGCUGGCUGCACACGUGCAAGGGUUGCUGUGUUUCUUCUGACAACAAUGACAUGUCUAUACUGUGGAACAGGCACUGGAAUGCCAGUUCUGGAUCCCUGCCAAGCACUAAGGGAAUACUGAGUACCUGAUACCCUCUUACAGGAAGGGUUUUGGACGGUCCCAGCAGUUGUAUAAACGCAUGAAGGGAUUUCUGGGAACUGUGUCUAAAUAUGCCCCUGAGAGUGAAAGCUACAGCACAUGACUUUGGGAAGCAAACACUUAAGGAGCUGCAAAGGACAGCAGUCUCAGAGCAUGAUGCUUAGGCAGUCCCAGACAGAUCAUGGGUUUCCUGAGCUACUCAAUUUCAUCAGAAACAUGCAGGAGAAAUUCUGUUGGGCUCCCAAACUUCUCCCAUAGGAAUUGCCAGGUAAGGUGUCUAAUUUCAGCAGCUUGUGUAACAUAUUUCAAAGGAAGAUGUAAAACCCUCACUAAAGAAUAUCCCUGAGGAUGUUCCUCUCUCACUUUGAACAGAGCCUCCAUGCUGGGCUAUAUCUCUUCCAUUCCCUCUGUUGGUGUUGGCUUCCUGUGACAAUCCUGGCUCCUGGGUGAGUGGGCCAAACUUUUCCUAUUCCUCACCUGUAAUUGAUAUUUCUCCUGGAGUUGAUAUCCCAGCUCUGGAUGGCUGCCCACAUCCUCUUCACAACUUCCUCUCGGUGGGGCUCACAGAUCCCCCAAGCCUCUGGACCAUCAAACAUGAUAUGGGAGAGCACUCCACAGGCAUUAUAGGACACCUCAAUCCCGUCGGCUUUGCUCUCCAGCAGGUUGCUACCAAGGGAGACGAGAUCACUUAGAGGUGCUGAAGCAGCAAAGGUUUAGGAGUCUCCAGGUGAUGGAGGAGCAGAGCUCCAGGCCCAGCUGAUGAGCCAGGCACUCACCUGAACACACUGAUGAACUGGGAGGUCAUGAGCUGUGGGCGGAGCUCCUUCACUUCUGCCACAUUGCCCAGGAGGCCCAGCAUGUUGCGGUGCAGCUCCUGUUUCUCUGGGAAUUCCUGGAUGAGCAAAGGACAGGAUUACAUACAGGUAGGGCCACAGUGAUGCCAAGAACAAGCAACCCUGGGGAAAGGCUGUACAGCACAUCUAGAAAGGCUGAGCACUUUUGGGAAGUCAGGAAUGGCUCCUUAGCAGGAGCCAAAUGGGAUCUGGAGUGCUAAAGGUACAUGUGAAGUGAGAGAGUUGAGACCAGGGCCCUCUGUUCACUGUUCACUGCUGCUCUGCUCAGGGGAACUGAGCAAAGCUGGGGAAAGAGGAAGAUGUGUUGACUUCCUCUGUUCUACUGGCUGGGUAGAAGGAUGUGAGAAGAACAUAGACAAGCUUUUACUUUUCCAUUUGUGCAAUGCAGGAAGUACUCCUUGGAGAGGAGCAGAGCCAGGGAUCCUGCCCAGGCACCCACAUCUCCACUGCUCGUGGAGACAAUCUCUCCCCAGAGACAAUCCCACUUACUUUCAAGCACUCCAAGAACAGUUUCAUGCCGCUGUAGUUAAGGAACAUCUCACAGUUAUCUGGGGUCUCAUCAGUGAUGUUCCAUAGGGCACUCCAGGAGAACUCCAUCACCUGAUCACACUAGAGAGUCAAAGAAGGGACAGAAUCAGAGCUUUGCUAAUGUGGGAGCCUGACGCAGACCAACCACUUGUUUCCUCUGGCAUCACCCCAAAUGGCUCCAGAGGUAAGAAAACCUUGUUAUUCACUUUCAAUUUGUCAGCAAGUGGGUUUUUUUGUUUAAUAUUUUUGUCUCCCUGUCACAUUCCCCUGCCCUCAGCCUGAGACAAGAAAUUCUGCAGCAUCAGCUGAGAUGUCUUGUGUUUGUCAGAGAAGCUGAGCUGGCACUUUGGGCUGAUCUCCAGGCCUAAGUGGGACUGAAGAGAAAAUACUCUAUGUAUAUGUUUUUUUGGGGAAACACUCACCGUUUUAUCAGCCAACUUCUUCUGAAUCAACUUUAGCAUUGUCUGUGGGCAAAGGAAGGGGAAGAGUGAGAAACAGUUUAGAAAUCAUGGAGCUAAAACUUAGCUGCUGUGGUACUGCAGUGGCCAAUUUUCGGGCAUAUUCAAUUUUGAUCCUUUGUAGAGAACCUACUUGGUAUCUCUUUCUUUAAACCAAUAGGACUGGGUUAUGUUCAAAGUUGCAGGUAUUUACAGAGAUGAACUAUGCCAGUCCCUGAACUGCUGAGUUUGUGGUUGAGUCAGUUUUGAUCUGUAUGACAAAGUCUGGGAUGUGGCAUAACUGCACCAGAGCACUGGCCUCUGCAGCUCUUGGAAAAGGUGAGGGAUGUGGGUUGACAUGAGCUGGGAAGCUGAUGCAAACUUGGGGAGGAAGAGAAGGAGCGAGCCACAAGGUGGUACCAGCUGUGGAAAUAACAUGAUGUGGUGGGGAGGUAUAACCUGUAUAAGGUUACAGUGCUUCCCUGCCCUCCCAGGCAGUCUCUGGGAUCAUGGCUGGUAAGCAAGCAAAGGGGCUCCAGGAAGGGUUAGCACUGCUGGGACAGUGGUUCCCUCCUGUGAUACUGUGAGGUUGGAUCACAGCUGGAUGCAUUGGGUGAACGGCUGCAAGGGAACUGUGCUGGCCUGGGUUAAGGGUAAGUAGACACCCUGGGACCAUACCAACCAUGACAAACCCCAUCUUGCCCACAGCUUCUUUGUGGUCGUUGUCCACCUGGCAGACCAGAGCGUUGCAGAGGUGCACAGCGAUGCGCUGGAUGGACUCGUCCUGCCGGCUCUGGUUGAGGAUGUUCAGCAGCAGCUCGUUGACCCGGCGGUACUGGAACUCCAGCUCCUCAGGAAUGCUGAAGUUACACAGUGUCAGGCAGCAGUUCCGCUGUACCUGGGCCAAAAGGAAGCAAACACUGGGCCAGGUGGCUACAAAACCACCGGCCCCAUCACUUCAUGUUUCCUUUCUGCUUGGUAUUGAAACCAUCUUCUUGCCUCACUACAACUACUAAAAUUUCAAUUACCCUUCUAUUUAGUGCUGUGCUUUAGCCAUGCUCUGUCAGUACCCCUUUCUUUCUCUCUGUCAGUUCAGUUUCACAGGGCCACACAAUUACCCAGGGCCCAAUUACCCACUUGCUUUCCAAGCCAGUUCCUCUCUGUGUGCAAGCUCAGCUGGCUUCCAGUACAGAGAUUUGGGAUGUUUCUUUCCAUUGACUCGAUAUCCCCAAUGCCUUUGACACCAUCUUUGACUGCUAUCCAUGGAAAAAAAGGAGCCUUGCUAUCAUUACUUUCUCCCCCUUUUUCUGGAGAAUAUCACAUGGAUAAGGAACACCCUGCAUGUAAUCCCCAUCACUGAGUGAAGGAAAGGAGCAGAUCUGGGCAAUCGCUUCUCUGCCUUGACUCAGUGCCUGGAGGCUGAGGAGACCCAGAUGCUGACACCAGGCUAAAGAAAUAGGAUAAGGGAAGGAGGGCGCUGAAGGAGCCUGGUCUGCUCUUACUGUGACCUCCUGGUAGGACUCCAUGCCGUUCAGCACCACCUGGAUGACCUGGCGCCGCAGCUUCACGCUCUGCUCCAUGCGGUACUCGGAGUUGGUCAGGUAGAACAGCGCCGCGCUGCCCGUCACCUGGAUGUUUUUGUCAUCCUUGUGGCACUUGAGGGCUGUGAUCACCAGCUGAGGAGAAAGAACAUGGAGCUUCAGUGCCACUGACUUGCUGUGGAGUCUUGGAGUGACUGUUAGACGCCCUCAAGGAAUGCGUGGCCCAGGCAUUGAGGGAAUGUGCUUAUGAAACGAAGGUAAACCAGGUCCACUGCACUACUGGAACUUUCUCCAGAACGGUUUCCCAGGGUGAAAAAAAGACUGGGACCACAAAAUUACCCUUGUGAGGGAGAGGCAAAGGCUCACCUGGAGGGCUCUCAGCAGCUGGCUGCAGCGCUCGAUGCGGGCGAUGUCGAACAGGAGGUUGAUGGCGCGGGAGGUGAUCUCCGGCCGGUGCUCCGUGUAAGCCUCGAUGGCAUUCAGGACUUGCUCUUCAUUCUUGUCUCCACUCACCUGGUACAGGGGAACAAAAACAGUCAGGGAAGAAAUUAUGGAGGAGGAGGCAGAUUUCCUGCAUUAUCAACUAGGUAUUGAAAGGUCAGAGCUCAAUUGUCACAACUGAGACCCAAAGAACUCCGCUCUGCUGGCAGCCAAUAAUUUUCAUGUUCUUUCAACUAAUACCAAGCUCCCACUGCCUGCAUUCCUGCAGCCUUGUUACCUUGUAGGCUGGAAUAUGUGUCAGGCGGCAGAGAGACGUUUCAAAAAGGCCCAGGAACUGGAGUGGCCGUUUCAGACCCCGGAAGGGAGCAAUGCUGCUCUUUGCUGGCUCAAUGCUGAGGGGAAAAAAUAAGAGAUCGCUCAUGUCGGUACCGUGUUUCUUCAGGUGUCAGCCCUCCAUUCACUCUGCACUGCCUCAUAACCAGAGUGAUAAUGGCUACACUUCACUUUACAGGAGCUCCUAAACAUAACCCUAAACGUUCAUCCCAGGUGAUCCUGAGUGAAGGGUGAAUGUGUGGAAUAGAACCAGCAGUAAGAAGAAUUCAUGCAGACAGAAUGCAGCUUUCCCAGGUAGAAUUUGUCCUGGAAAUUCACUGGUUGGAGUGAACAUUUCCUUUUAAAGGGCUGUGGAUUUCGCUGAUCCAAAGUAUUUGCAGUCUGGGCUGUGCAUCAUCUGAUAGACUAGAUCUGCUUCUGUGAGCAGGCAGGAACACUGCUUUUGCUGCCAUGUUCCUUAUUGACCAAGAGCCAGUGCAUUUUCACCAGCUCUGAUAAAAAGGAGCCAGUACUGUCCCACUUGUUUGCUUCUGUUCAGUAAGUGCUUCAUAGGAGGGCAGAGUUCUUGGCUGAGCUGGAAAACCAAACCUCUAGCUGUGCCCCUACCAGGAUUUGCAAGGAUUGAUCUCCCCAAUAUCCAGGUCAAAUCUGAAAACAGGCCUUUAGAUUCCAAGUUCCUAAAACAUUCAGCCCUCCCUGACUCAGUGUAUAAAUGUUCUGUCUCAAAAGAGCCUGAAUUUUAGUGAGGGUAAGAAUGUUCUGUGUAGGAAGUAUGUACAGAGCUUUGGAGUCCUUUCAGAAAUAAUCCUGCAGGAGAUCCCUGGGAGAAUGUGUGUGGAAAAGAACUGAAAUCCUUCAGAGCUGUAUGGCAGGCAGAUGGGAUGAUUUCUUUAUUACUCUUACAAGUCCUUACAUGUAUUGCAUACAGCAAUAGCAGUUGAUUCUCACACCAGUCUUUACUGUCAGGGGAAACUGGGAAGAGUUGUAUCCUGCUUCUUAGUAUUAGACCUACAGAAUUUGGGAACUCAAAAGAGGGAACUGUUCUUAACUCAUCUUUCCAUGAUCUAUCCAUCCAAGCAAACCUCAGUAACUGCUGUUCCUGUACCUUGUCUGGCCCAUCUUCUCCUCCAUGCUGGGGAUGGUGCAGUUCUCCAGCAUGGUGUGCCCUGAGAUGUCGAGCGAGCUGAGGUUCACCAGGUUCUCCACAAACAGGUUCAGAACCCGCCGGGUCAGCUUAAACUUGUAAUAACUGGACAGAUGGUCUCGGGAGAUAUCCAAGUGCCUGCAGGUGACAGAGAGCAUCUCAGAGCCUGGAGAGCGUUAGCUGGGGCUUCUGCCUCUCUACCAGAGGAAAAGGAGUACCAAGUGUGAUUAUUAUUUAUUAUUAUUUCCUUCCCAAGGUACAGGAAUGUGAUUCUGUAGGCUCUGGCAGCAGCAGCUGGCCCUGUGUGUAACCUAAGCACACAGAUUAUCUGGCAGAGGUCUACCUGGAGCAGAGCACAGUGAAUCGUCUGGCCACACAUCACAAAGCAAAUGGCUCCAGGCUCAGGAACUGCCUUUCCCAAGCUCCAUCGCAGCAGCCACCUGAGCAUUUCUGCCUGGAGAUUAAAAUGCAUCAGAGGAUCUUUGCAUCCCCAGAAACGUAUCUUGCCUCAUCCCACAAAUUAAGUUACACAAGAUUUUGUCUGCUUCCCCAAUCUUCUAAUUUUUCCACCUCGGGCUAGUACUCUGUCCUGAUUUCUUUCAGGUGUUUAAAUGCUUAAGCUUUGGGAAAAUCCUGCUGCUAUGGGAGUGGUGGGACAAACUGACCCACAUGGUGUGCAGGUGGGGUCCCUUACAGGGCAGGGGCUAAGAUCCUUGAGAGAGACUUUUCUAAACUUCCUGAAACAGGAGCCAGCAUCCCACUCACAAAAGUGUCUUCCAUCUGUUGCAGACCAGGUUUCAUUGCAAGUCACUGGGACUUAAAAGUACUUAGAUUUAGAAAAUGUUAUCCAGGAUGUUCCCUGAGACUCCAGAGUGUAUGUUAAUGUGCCUGAGUUCAACUGUGAUGAUGCUAAAGCCAUUGCAAAGCAUCCUUCCUGUGAAUAGUAAGGCCUUUCUCUCUGGUUUGGGAAGUCCUGGAUUCCUUUCCCAAUACCACUGUGAGGUUUGAAUAGCAAUUGUCUCAGCUCUGGUUCAGGAAAUUGUUUCACUGUCAACACUUUUAGGUCAGGAGCACCCAUUUGUUGACACUGCUUGUUCCCUUGGUUGCCCCAUCCAUGCACAGUGGGCUUCCAUGGAGUACAGCCAGAAGACAGCCUGAGCUCAGAGCUUUGCCUAGUUUUAUUACAGAGCUAGGCUUAAACUUUGUAAAUCCCAGUUUGAUGAAUGGUUUGGAGGACUGAGUUUCACAGUGUAUCACUGUGUUACUUUAUGUAACCAUAUGUAGUAAUUUUCUUUUGCCAUCUCUGGGGUAUUCACCUCUUCUAUUUUGUUUGUCUGGUUGGGGGUGGUGAUGGUUUUGGUUUGGUGUUCGGUUUGUGGGGGGUUUUUUUGGGUGUCUGGGGUUUUUUGGGAGAUGUGAAGGUGUUAUUUUUUGCUUUUCUAAGAGGAAGUUUCUGCUAAGUAUAUCUUUUUACAAGUAAAAUUCAGGCUGGCUUUAGACAUGUCAGAUAUGUGCAGUGAGUCAAUGAGUGAGCCUGUUCACAGGAAGGUUUAUAACCUGAACCCAGCAGGUUAUAAGGUUAGAGGCACCCAGAGGUGCUUCUCUGUUAGCAGGCAAGUAGAUAAUUCCUAAAAGACCUUUUCCUAUCAGCGGGCAAAGGAUAGGCAAGGAAGAACAGAUCUGACCUGAGCUUGCGAAGCUGUGCGAUCACUUGGAUGUGUUCCUCUGAAAGGUCCAUGUUGUAAAGCACUAAGGAAACCAGACUGUCCUUCCACUGGGUGAGGAAUCCCACAUCAUUCAGCUGGAUCCCAGAGAGAUCCAGAGCUGCCAGGGAGGCCAGAGGCCGCAGCAGGGUCUCCACGUUCACCCCCUCAAUCAGGCGGCCCAGGUUCAGGAAGCGCAGGCGGUUGAAGCCUUCAAAGGUAAAGUCCUUGACCAAGACCUGGCGGGUGGGGUUCACCAGACAGUCAUCCUCACACCCCCCGGGGUUCUCCUCCUCGUAGAAGAUAUUGCAGCAGCCAAAGAGGCUCAGGGAGAUCAGUGUGUGGCUGAAGCUCACCAAGGUUUGCAGGCUCUUGGCCGUCAGCUUCUCACAGUUAGUCAGGUAGAGCUCAACAAGAUCCUGGGAAAAGAGAAAUCAAGGUUAGGAUAUAUUUCACAGGUAAAGUGCCCACCCUGUUUGAUCCACACCUCCCGCUGGGACAGCCUGAGACCACAUAUCACCAGUGUCCCCAUCCCAUUCCCUACAGUGGCUUUGGGAGCUGAGAAGGGAGAAGCCGAUGUUAUUCCCAAAGUGAAGGAUGGAGCCUUGGGGAUCUGCAUGUCUGGGAUUCUAGCUGGUGCCCAUGCAGCAAUGCUGUGACAUGACAGCUGUCAAUGCAACAGCACCUGCUUCCUGAUGGCCUCCAGGUCCUGGUCCUGCACAAUCUGUUCCCGCAGGUGGAUCCGAGCCAGCCUGGUGCUCCGUGGGUCUGAGAAGAGGGUGAAGAAGCUUUCAUGGGGUUCGAAGAUGCUGUCUGUCUUCACCAGCUCCACAUACCUGUGGGGGGCAAUGGCAUUAGCACAGCAUGGCAGAGGCUCAGCUACAGUUCUGGCACCUGCACUGGUGACAUGGGAAUGUGACACCAACCCCCUCCUGAUCACCCAGAAAAUUAGCUGGCCAGAGUUCUCUGCCAGACUUUGUGGGCACAAGUUCAGCCAAGAGAGACUGUGACAGCCAAAUUAUGUAAAUCCCUGGAAACAGGUUGCUUUGUAAAUCUAUGGGAGCAGCAACUUUAAAAUUUAACAUCUGUUACCACUUUGCACUCUUUAUUUCUCUGCUUGGAGAGGGAGCUGUAAAGCUUCAGUAGUGGGAAAUGGGAAGGCUCCUUUGUUGCUUACUGACUGUGAAGCAGUGACUGUUUCACUCUGGGUUUACCCUUCUGAUUUCCCUUUUAACAGGACUUUGUUCAGCUCUAUCUGACUAACUUGGAAAGGGUGAUAUCCGCAGAAAUUAGAGUGAUAUAUAGCACUACAAUAACUCUGGGAACACUUCCUUCUGAACUUAAUGCAAACCUUUACUGCCAAGAUGAAGAUCAAUUGGAAAAACAGCCCUAUGAUUUCUUCCCCUUUCAUUCUUUUUGGAGAACUAUACACCCCUUUGCCUGAGCUCCCAGCUCCUCAAACCAGGCAAAGCUUCCCAAAGCCAGGCCUAAAACGUACU